GUCGAGAAUAAUUCACAAUGGGGGCAACCCUGAUGGAGCGACGCCGCGUGGAGGAUAAGGUCUUCGGAUUGUAAACUCCUGUCAUGCGUGAACAAGGUUGCUUGGUUAAUACCUGGGCAAAUUGAUGGUAACGCAAGAGGAAGAGACGGCUAACUCUGUGCCAGCAGCCGCGGUAAUACAGAGGUCUCAAGCGUUGUUCGGAAUCACUGGGCGUAAAGGGUGCGUAGGUGGCGUGGUAAGUCAGAUGUGAAAGCCCGGGGCUCAACCUCGGAACUGCAUCCGAUACUGCCAUGCUAGAGUACUGGAGAGGUGACUAGAAUUCUCGGUGUAGCAGUGAAAUGCGUAGAUAUCGAGAGGAAUACCAAAGGCGUAGGCAGGUCACUGGACAGUUACUGACACUGAGGCACGAAGGCCAGGGGAGCGAACGGGAUUAGAUACCCUUGUAGUCC
Molecule: ribosomal RNA, 449 nt
Filed under: uncultured bacterium
Lineage: Bacteria
Description: partial 16S ribosomal RNA
Rfam family: Bacterial small subunit ribosomal RNA
Source: RNAcentral